GAUGAACGCUGGCGGCGUGCCUAAUACAUGCAAGUCGAGCGAACAGACGAGGAGCUUGCUCCUCUGACGUUAGCGGCGGACGGGUGAGUAACACGUGGAUAACCUACCUAUAAGACUGGGAUAACUUCGGGAAACCGGAGCUAAUACCGGAUAAUAUAUUGAACCGCAUGGUUCAAUAGUGAAAGACGGUUUUGCUGUCACUUAUAGAUGGAUCCGCGCCGCAUUAGCUAGUUGGUAAGGUAACGGCUUACCGAGGCAACGAUGCGUAGCCGACCUGAGAGGGUGAACGGCCACACUGGAACUGAGACACGGUCCAGACUCCUACGGGGGGCAGCAGUAGGGAAUCUUCCGCAAAGGGCGAAAGCCUGACGGAGCAACGCCGCGUGAGUGAUGAAGGUCUUCGGAUCGUAAAACUCUGUUAUUAGGGAAGAACAAAUGUGUAAGUAACUAUGCACGUCUUGACGGUACCUAAUCAGAAAGCCACGGCUAACUACGUG
RNAcentral lists this ribosomal RNA (497 nucleotides) under uncultured bacterium. RNAcentral's name for it is "partial 16S ribosomal RNA". It matches the Rfam family "Bacterial small subunit ribosomal RNA", at positions 28 to 507 of the family's 1533-position model. The record is from RNAcentral.